GAUGAACGCUGGCGGCGUGCUUAACACAUGCAAGUCGAACGAUGAAGCCCAGCUUGCUGGGUGGAUUAGUGGCGAACGGGUGAGUAACACGUGAGUAACCUGCCCUUAACUCUGGGAUAAGCCUGGGAAACUGGGUCUAAUACCGGAUAGGAGCGUCCACCGCAUGGUGGGUGUUGGAAAGAUUUAUCGGUUUUGGAUGGACUCGCGGCCUAUCAGCUUGUUGGUGAGGUAAUGGCUCACCAAGGCGACGACGGGUAGCCGGCCUGAGAGGGUGACCGGCCACACUGGGACUGAGACACGGCCCAGACUCCUACGGGAGGCAGCGGUGGGGAAUAUUGCACAACGGGCGCAAGCCUGAUGCAGCGACGCCGCGUGAGGGAUGACGGCCUUCGGGUUGUAAACCUCUUUCAGUAGGGAAGAAGCGAAAGUGACGGUACCUGCAGAAGAAGCACCGGCUAACUACGUG
This 466-nucleotide ribosomal RNA is filed under the name uncultured bacterium. RNAcentral's name for it is "partial 16S ribosomal RNA". It matches the Rfam family "Bacterial small subunit ribosomal RNA", at positions 28 to 507 of the family's 1533-position model. The record is from RNAcentral.